AUUAGACGCUGGCGGCAUGCCUUACACAUGCAAGUCGAACGGUAGCGCGGGGCAACCUGGCGACGAGUGGCGAACGGGUGAGUAAAGCAUCGGAACGUGCCCUGGAAUGGGGGAUAACGUAGCGAAAGUUACGCUAAUACCGCAUAUUCUGUGAGCAGGAAAGCAGGGGAUCGCAAGACCUUGCGUUCUGGGAGCGGCCGAUGUCGGAUUAGCUAGUUGGUGGGGUAAAAGCCUACCAAGGCGACGAUCCGUAGCGGGUCUGAGAGGAUGAUCCGCCACACUGGGACUGAGACACGGCCCAGACUCCUACGGGAGGCAGCAGUGGGGAAUUUUGGACAAUGGGCGGAAGCCUGAUCCAGCCAUGCCGCGU
RNAcentral lists this ribosomal RNA (370 nucleotides) under uncultured bacterium. RNAcentral's name for it is "bacterial SSU rRNA". It matches the Rfam family "Bacterial small subunit ribosomal RNA", at positions 30 to 402 of the family's 1533-position model. The record is from RNAcentral.